AGUAGAAAAUCAGUUAGCUUUAAAGGUCUCUUUCAUCACUCAUGUAUCCUUUGCAUGCACUCCAGUUCGAUUAACUUUGAUGUGUGGUUGAUUUUUAUUUGCAACUUUUUAACAAUAAAGUUUUAAUCAAAUUAAAAAAUAAUAGUAAAAAAUAGUCAAAGGUAACAAAAUAUUAUGACAUAAAACUGCUUUUGUUUAGUUCUGCAAAGAUUUCUGAAUUGCUUCUUGCUAGGCAAACUUAAUAAGCUGUUUAAUCCUAGGACUGGCCUAUGUACAGAAAUGCUUGUGCAUGAUUUCUGGGCUUUCUAUAUGAAAUACACAUUCAUUCUGACAGUAUUGAGAUAGGCUAACUUUGCUAUUACCAUAUUUGCUUGUACAUUUUGUUGCAAGUAAUGUUAUGAGAUCAGAUACUUUGUUACUUAAUUUGGUGUGUAUUUACAUUGUAAAAUUAUUGAUUGUCACUGACAAUACAUUUGUAAGAAGUCUAAGGCUUCGGUGUUUGUCAGUGCUGCAGACCUAUAUUUUAGUGAGCCAUGAGAUCUAAAACUUACUUCAAGAGUAGAAGCUGAGCUAAUGUACAAAGGACUUCUGUUUGGUUCUUCUGUGUAGUGAUUGUAAUUGUACUGUAAUUGUUACAUGUUGAAUGUACUUACAUUCCUUUUGUAUUGCAUAAGCUUCCUAAGAUGCAAAGCUAAGAAAACUCUUCAGCAAAAAGAUGUGAGUUGACAUGUUCCUAAUUAUAUCAUGACUAUUUUUCUUUAAGUAACAGUAGUUAGAGAGGCCUAAUUGUGCAUCAAGCAAUGCCAAUUAAUAAUUAAAAAGUAUUGGACACUGGCCACCUACAGUAGGCCUGAGUUAAAAGCCACUCAUUCUGUACCUCUUAAUUGCUUUAAUUGAGCAUACAGUUUUGUUGGCAGGAACUUCUUGAUACUUGUCACUUUUACUCUCCUACUCCUACAUAAGGUUGGUGUGAGUGAAGAAAAGCUAUGAAGAUGGGAAACCAGAGAUGUUUUGAGAAGGAUAAAUCUGUUGCAGGAAACAUCAGCUAGACUAACUUGGCUAUGAGUUGGAAUGCAGUGUGCUGGCUGUUGCUGUGACUCUGGAAAUCAGGAUGCACUUGAGAAACAAUUAAUACAGCAAGUUUACUUUCUAAAUUUGGCUGUCAGUCAACUAUUUUCAAACACAUCUUUUAAAUAAGCUUCAAUACGUUUAGUAAUUUGCUCAAAAUGAACUAUAAUUCUUAUAAAAAUCCAAACAUGAUAGAAAAAUGUGAAAUAUAUAAAACAUUACAGAUUC
Long non-coding RNA from Peromyscus eremicus (cactus mouse), 1296 nucleotides. RefSeq lists it as uncharacterized. The transcript has 2 exons. The record is from RefSeq and is a predicted model, not a curated record. NCBI's taxonomy places the organism in Eukaryota, Metazoa, Chordata, Mammalia, Rodentia, Cricetidae.